CUCACACACACAGUUGGCUGGUUUAGAGUUCUGUCUCUGCCCCUUCGAGAUGCAUUGUCAUCUUUGACUGACAAAGAAUGAUGCGGUGUUGGGCAGUUGCCAUAGUGACCAGACGGCCCGCCUGGCCACUUACAGAUAGUUUGCUGACUCCAACGGACCUAUGACAGCAGCAGCAACUUGGAAGGAUGUCAAGCUCUAUCCAGGUGAAAUGAGAUCAGCUUGGGAAACAGACGUAGAAUUUUGAGCCGGGGAAAAUUGGGAAGACAUACAGAGCUCCUUGGAGACAUGGUUGGGACCCUCACUGUCUCUCAUCCGAAGGGCUCUAGGAGGCUCUGACCCUGUCCCUGCCUCUCACCUUGACACGCAGACUGUAUACCCUCUGUCUAACCCACUUCUCCCUGCCACCCUCCACCACUGCGGCAUUCAUCUUUCCAAAGGGAAAAUGGGAUCACCACUUCCUGCCGGAAGCACGCCAGAGGCUUCAGGGAGCCCUAGAUUGCCUGGAGGAACAUGCAAGCAAAGAGUCUAGUGCAGGAGAACGAACACCCACCACGCUUCUGGUCACCAGGAAUCCAGGCUUCCGGUCAACCCCUCACCUCUAGAAAUGGAUGUCUAUUUUCAAAAUAUUGCACUGGCAGCUUCAGCAGAAGCAAUCUAUCGCCCGCAAAGGAGGAGCUGAGCCAACAUAUGCGUGCAGAUAUCAAUACAAGUCUGGAGCUACACAUAAGCAGAGGGAGUGCUGACAGGGAGCUGGGCAGCCUGCCACUGAGGAGCUCUUUUAUAAAAGGCAGUGUUUCGCUUCCCUUACAAAAGACUAAAGGGUUGUGCCUGAUAUUCAUAGAAGCUGGGGCAAAAGAAAUCUCUGGUCUAUUCUGAGAGUAACUUGCCAUUGAUAUGGAUCCAACUAGAGAAAUAACAAUUCUCUAGUUUUCAGAAUUGAUCAAUGUACUGUGUUCUCACCCUAACAUAGGGAAUGCAGUGUUUUUCCAUCCAGUGUAGAGACCAAUAAACAGAAGGCCUAAGCCA
This 1026-nucleotide long non-coding RNA is filed under the name Felis catus (domestic cat). Its description in RNAcentral is "lncRNA (ENSFCAG00000051311.1)". Lineage: Eukaryota; Metazoa; Chordata; Mammalia; Carnivora; Felidae. The record is from RNAcentral.